RNAcentral lists this ribosomal RNA (439 nucleotides) under uncultured bacterium. Its description in RNAcentral is "bacterial SSU rRNA". It matches the Rfam family "Bacterial small subunit ribosomal RNA", at positions 340 to 773 of the family's 1533-position model. The record is from RNAcentral.
UACGGAAGGCAGCAGUGGGGAAUAUUGCACAAUGGGCGCAAGCCUGAUGCAGCCAUGCCGCGUGUAUGAAGAAGGCCUUCGGGUUGUAAAGUACUUUCAGUCGUGAGGAAGGUGUUAAGGUUAAUAACCUUAGCAAUUGACGUUAGCGACAGAAGAAGCACCGGCUAACUCCGUGCCAGCAGCCGCGGUAAUACGGAGGGUGCGAGCGUUAAUCGGAAUUACUGGGCGUAAAGGGCACGCAGGCGGUUAAUUAAGUUGGAUGUGAAAUCCCCGGGCUUAACCUGGGAAUGGCAUUCAAGACUGGUUAGCUAGAGUCUUGUAGAGGGGGUAGAAUUCCAUGUGUAGCGGUGAAAUGCGUAGAGAUGUGGAGGAAUACCGGUGGCGAAGGCGGCCCCUGGACAAAGACUGACGCUCAUGUACGAAAGCGUGGGGAGGCAAA